GAUGAACGCUGGCGGCGUGCCUAAUACAUGCAAGUCGAGCGAACAGAUGAGAAGCUUGCUUCUCUGAUGUUAGCGGCGGACGGGUGAGUAACGCGUGGGUAACCUACCUAUAAGACUGGGAUAACUCCGGGAAACCGGGGCUAAUACCGGAUAAUAUUUUGAACCGCAUGGUUCAAUAGUGAAAGACGGUUUCGGCUGUCACUUAUAGAUGGACCCGCGCCGUAUUAGCUAGUUGGUAAGGUAACGGCUUACCAAGGCGACGAUACGUAGCCGACCUGAGAGGGCGAUCGGCCACACUGGAACUGAGACACGGUCCAGACUCCUACGGGAGGCAGCAGUAGGGAAUCUUCCGCAAUGGGCGAAAGCCUGGCGGAGCAACGCCGCGUGAGUGAUGAAGGUCUUCGGAUCGUAAAACUCUGUUGUUAGGGAAGAACAAAUUUGUUAGUAACUGAACAAAUCUUGACGGUACCUAACCAGAAAGCCACGGCUAACUACGUGCCAGCAGCCGCCGUAA
Molecule: ribosomal RNA, 514 nt
Filed under: uncultured bacterium
Lineage: Bacteria
Description: partial 16S ribosomal RNA
Rfam family: Bacterial small subunit ribosomal RNA
Source: RNAcentral